UAUAGUUCAGUGGUAGAAUGCUUGCCUCAUAUGUGCAAGGGUCUGGGUUCGAUCCCCAGUA
Molecule: transfer RNA, 61 nt
Filed under: Heterocephalus glaber (naked mole-rat)
Lineage: Eukaryota; Metazoa; Chordata; Mammalia; Rodentia; Bathyergidae
Rfam family: tRNA
About the family: Transfer RNA (tRNA) molecules are approximately 80 nucleotides in length.
Source: Rfam by way of RNAcentral